This 3108-nucleotide long non-coding RNA is filed under the name Lepisosteus oculatus (spotted gar). Its description in RNAcentral is "lncRNA (ENSLOCG00000021252.1)". Lineage: Eukaryota; Metazoa; Chordata; Actinopteri; Semionotiformes; Lepisosteidae. The record is from RNAcentral.
CAUUACUCUGCUCUCCUCCCCACUGAUAGCUGAUGUGUGGGGAGCGUUCUGGCGCACUAUGGCUGCCGUCGCAUCAUCCAGGUGGGGCUGCACACUGGGGGUGGAGGGGAUCCCCAUUACCUGUAAAGCGCUUUGAGUGGAGUGUCCAGAAAAGCGCUAUAUAAGUGUAAGCAAUUAUUAUUAUUAUUAAUUAUUACGGGGUAGAGCACUUGGAAAAUGGAGGGGUGACUGGAUGCUCUUCGGCAGCGCAGUACCCCUGUCCUCCUGUCAGGGUACACGCAAGAAUCACCCCCCCCCCGUCUCCUCGCAGGGCACGACGGUGUGUCACACGGUGGUGCUGGGCGUGGGUGUCAUCGUGCUCUUCUCCAGCCGGGCCUGCUACAACCUGGCCGUGCUGGUGCUGUCCCAGAGCCACAAGGUGGAGUCCUUCGACUACGACUGGUACAACAUCUCCGACCAGGCAGACCUGCGCAGCGAGAUGGGCGACUGGGGGUACCUGGUGUUCGGGGCGAUCCUGUUCAUCUGGGAGCUGCUGCCCACCGCCCUGCUCAUCGCCAUCUUCAGAGUGAGGCGCCCCCCGCGGGACACGGGCAGCAGUGUGGCUAUCGGCACGCGGGGGCCACGCUCCUACUUCUUCGAUGAUCCUCAAGGGGGAGAGAGCGACCCAGGGGGCCCCUGGGGCCAUGGCACUGCUCAGCCUAACAGCUGGUACCAGUCGAGCGAGUCCUCCUGGUUCGGAUCCGGUGAGACGGCACCCCUGCUCUUCGCACGAGACAUUCAGCAGACCAAUCAGCACCACUCCUUGUACUCCACCCCUCAGAACUGACCAGUCGCGGCCCGACUUGGCAGUCCGGGCACCAGGAAUCGACCGAUGAUGGUCUGAAAGAUUGCACUACGAACAACGGACCAAUCGCAGCCGGAGUCUGUGGCACACCCACGUCUCGGGACUGACCCAUCGCAGCCAGAGUCUGUGGCACGCCCACGUCUCGGGACUGACCCAUCGCAGCCAGAGUCUUUCAUUCUUGGACAAUCCCUGCCCGUCUGUCCUCCGAACUUUCUACUGGUGACUGGUCAGUACUGUGCCCUUGUGCUCCAACACUCCUCCUACCAGAACCAAAAGUCUCGACAGAAACAGGGACUGAGGGACAGCGGGACCGGUCACCUGUCCAGCCCGAGCAGGUGAGUUCGGCCCUGCAGCUCUGACCCACUCGGAGCAAUGGCUGCUGUCUGGACCGUGCAGGACUGUCUGCUCACCCAGAUGAUGGGGGUCUUACUCCAGACAGCACCGCGCUGAAUGGCGCCCCUCUCACCACCGGGAGGCUGUUUCCUGUUCUCCGCUGGGACGGGGAGCACAGGAACUACGCUCUGUUAAAACUGGACCGCCCCGAGCCACAGCGGGAUCGGUGGGACAGGACGUCGUGCUGUAGGGGGCGCCGUCGAGCUGCGCAGCGGUGCACAGCUGCUGUGCUUUUGUUUCCUAGGAGAGUCCCCGCGUGUCAGAUCUCACACUCUCACCAGCGCGGGGACAACGGGGGUCCCCUACCCCACUGGCCCAGCCCCCCGCCGUCCUCACGGAUCCAUUUGGGGUUUUCCUGAGGCCACAUGGGGGCAGACUGGGGCUCCCCAGGACCAGGGGCUACAGAGAGGGGUCCUCCACUGGGAGCCCCAUGACUCCAUCCCAGACCGAUCAUUAGGGACUCAACUCCCAUCUUUCCAUUGUAUUAAUAUUUCAGCUUUUAGUGACGUGUUAAGAAAUGAGUGCUAAUUAAUAAAAGUUGUGUAAUGGUAACAAGCUCUUCCUCUGCCUGUGUCUCGACCGCCCUCCCAUCCACCUCCUGAUGUUGGCUGGAGUUCUUGUCCUGUCCGGAGUGAAUGGUGUUCAUAGGACAGGACCUAGUGAGAGAGAGAGCUCUGCCCUCGACUGCAGCGCCUGGCGUUCACAGGACAGGGCCCAGGGAGAGAGAGCUCUGCCCUCGACUGCAGCGCCUGGCGUUCAUGAGACAGGGCUCAGAGAGAGAAAGAGAGCUCUGCUCUCGACUGCAGUGCCUGGUGUCCAGGAACAAGGCGCCGGGCCCCGUUAAGACUGAGCAGCACAGAGACACGGACAGUCUGCUCCUCUGAAGAACAGGUUUAUUCUGCAGUCUGUACAGAUCAUCCUCAUAAAACUCUUUAUACAGUAUGUACAAAUUAAAUUAAUCCUCCACACUCCACUGCUGUAGUCCGAACAGAGCCUGCCCCCCCCUCCUCCCCCCCCUUCGCAGAGAUUAAUAACCCAACAGAGAAAAAAAAAAUACAAAAAGAAGAAAAAGACAAGCCUGUUAUAUGCAUGACCCUCCCCCGCGGCAGCACAGUGCGCAGAUACAGGAGGGACAAGAUUACCCCGAUGGCAGCCGGGAUCCCUUUCCUCAGCAGUCUGCUCCAUUUAGGAAUUUUGUCCCUCCCGCGACACAGGACUCUGUGUACCAGUGCAGCAGGGUAAAUGAAACACUGUAGAAUUUAAAAUCUCUCCCUGUGCAGCUGUGCCUGAGCCAGCCUGUGUCUUCACCCAGUGUUGUGUUUGUCCAGGGACCUCUGAGAGCUGGUAAAACGUGGAGCGGAUCAGGCUGCUGGGAAACGGGACCUGGCCUUUUCACAUCAUCGCGCGCAGGCGGUUUCUGUGCCAUGGACAAAUGCCGCACUACACGUGGGUGUGUGUCGCUGAGCAGUGUCCCAGUAUAGCAGUGUGUGUAGCCAGGGUACAGUGUACACUGUGUGUGUAGCCUGGGUACAGUGUACACUGUGUGUGUAACAGUGUGUGUAGCCUAGGUACAGUGUACACUGUGCGUGUGGCAGUGUGUGGAGCCUGGAUACAGUGUACACUGUGUGUGUAACAGUGUGUGGAGCCUGGAUACAGUGUACACUGUGUGUGAGGAGUGUGUGUAGCCUGGGUACAGUGUACACUGUGUGUUUAACAGUGUGUCCAGUGCACACUGUGUGUUUAACAGUGUGUCCAGUGCACACUGUGUGUUUAACAGUGUGUCCAGUGCACACUGUGUUUUACAGUGUGUGUAGCCAGGGUAGUGUACACUGUGUGUUUUACAGUGUGUGUAGCCAGGGUAGAGUGUACAC